GAUGAAGAACGCAGCGAAAUGCGAUAAGUAAUGUGAAUUGCAGAAUUCAGUGAAUCAUCGAAUCUUUGAACGCACAUUGCGCCCGUCAGUAUUCUGGCGGGCAUGCCUGUUCGAGCGUCAUUACGCCCCUCAAGUCCCCUGUGGACUUGGUGUUGGGGAUCGGCGAGGCUGGUUUUCCAGCACAGCCGUCCCUUAAAUUAAUUGGCGGUCUCGCCGUGGCCCUCCUCUGCGCAGUAGUAAAACACUCGCAACAGGAGCCCGGCGCGGUCCACUGCCGUAAAACCCCCCAACUUUUUAUAGUUGACCUCGAAUCAGGUAGGACUACCCGCUGAACUUAAGCAUAUCAAUAAAGCGGAGGA
RNAcentral lists this unclassified non-coding RNA (359 nucleotides) under soil metagenome. RNAcentral's name for it is "partial contains 5.8S ribosomal RNA, internal transcribed spacer 2, and large subunit ribosomal RNA". The stretch from base 1 to 120 matches the Rfam family "5.8S ribosomal RNA", at positions 35 to 154 of the family's 154-position model. The record is from RNAcentral.